This 70-nucleotide transfer RNA is filed under the name Anguilla anguilla (European eel). RNAcentral describes it as "tRNA-OTHER". The record is from RNAcentral. Lineage: Eukaryota; Metazoa; Chordata; Actinopteri; Anguilliformes; Anguillidae.
GCACGGUGGUGCAGUGGGUAGCACUGUUGCCUCACAGAAAGAUGGUCCUGGGUUCGAAUCCAUGUUUGCA